AACGAACGCUGGCGGCGUGCUUAACACAUGCAAGUCGAACGAGAAAGUUUCUUCGGAAAUGAGUAAAGUGGCGCACGGGUGAGUAACGCGUAGAUAACCUGUCCAAGUGAUCGGGAUAGCCCUUCGAAAGGGGGAUUAAUACCGGAUACGUUGAUUGUUUUUAAGGACGAUCAAGAAAGGUGGCCUCUAUUUAUAAGCUAUCGCACAUGGAGGGGUCUGCGUACCAUUAGCUAGUUGGUGAGGUAAGGGCUCACCAAGGCUACGAUGGUUAGCGGGUCUGAGAGGAUGAUCCGUCACACUGGCACUGAAACACGGGCCAG
RNAcentral lists this ribosomal RNA (320 nucleotides) under uncultured bacterium. Its description in RNAcentral is "bacterial SSU rRNA". It matches the Rfam family "Bacterial small subunit ribosomal RNA", at positions 29 to 334 of the family's 1533-position model. The record is from RNAcentral.